This 379-nucleotide ribosomal RNA is filed under the name uncultured cyanobacterium. RNAcentral describes it as "bacterial SSU rRNA". It matches the Rfam family "Bacterial small subunit ribosomal RNA", at positions 376 to 770 of the family's 1533-position model. The record is from RNAcentral. Lineage: Bacteria; Bacillati; Cyanobacteriota.
CGAAAGCCUGACGGAGCAAUACCGCGUGUGGGAGGAAGGCCCUUGGGUCGUAAACCACUUUUCUUAGGGAAGAAGAACUGACGGUACCUAAGGAAUAAGCCUCGGCUAACUCCGUGCCAGCAGCCGCGGUAAUACGGAGGAGGCAAGCGUUAUCCGGAAUUAUUGGGCGUAAAGCGUCCGCAGGUGGCGAUUCAAGUCUGCUGUCAAAGCACGGGGCUUAACUCCGUAAAGGCAGUGGAAACUGAAUAGCUAGAGUGCCGUAGGGGUAGAGGGAAUUCCCGGUGUAGCGGUGAAAUGCGUAGAGAUCGGGAAGAACAUCGGUGGCGAAAGCGCUCUGCUGGGCCGCAACUGACACUCAGGGACGAAAGCUAGGGGAGCG